Non-coding RNA from Pelobates cultripes (western spadefoot toad), 840 nucleotides. The record is from the annotation of a GenBank genome assembly. Lineage: Eukaryota; Metazoa; Chordata; Amphibia; Anura; Pelobatidae.
AACAAAGUAGGCAUCCAUUUUGGAUGUCUUAUACAGUCCUCCUUCUGAUGCCAAAUAUUUUCCAAAUCAUGAACAGACAGUUGCAAAAUGGUAAACAUUUGGUCAAAUGACUAGUAAUGCAAAUGAAUGUGAAUAAAGAAAGUGGUUAAAAAGAGGAAGUAGGAAAGGUAGGUAAGGGAUUUACUUAUAUAAUUUCAAUAUACAUUAAUUAAAAAAAUAAAAAUAGUCUCCACUGACUAUGUACAGCUUUCUCCUCAAAGUAAGGAGACUGAAACAGUUUGGUUUAGGACAUUAAGUUCUGCAACAAUUUCACUUUAUUUAUUUACAUAGGUUCCAAUGGGAAGUGAUUAGAUUAGCAAUCACAUAUUUGCUCACAAUAGCCUUAGAACAACAUUUGGUGUUGGGAACACAUUUGAAUCUGUCCAGCAAUCCUCAGAUGGCACUCUGCACCACAGAGAAUGAAGUUCCUGAGCAUUCUUGAUUAAUGUGUAAUAUUAUGAUUAAAAGAACACUCCACAGACAUAAAGUGGUUAAACUUUGUGUGUGUGAUGUGCUGAUUUUCUUUGCAGUUUACAAAAGUCCUGGUUUCUAUUUAAAUUUGUCACUUUUAUAGAUAAUUGCAGAAACACCUCACGGCUGUCAGACAGUCAGGGAGGUUAUUUUCCAGAUUAUGUUAGCUACACAGAGUUCUGGAGUGUCUCUGUCUUCUCCACCAAGUUGCAAUGUUCCUGUGAGCAUGCAUGGGUCAACAGACUUUAUUUCACUGUUGUGUCCUCAUGCAAUUCAGGGCUCAAAAUCAGAGGCUUCUUCAUUGAUAAUAAUAAAUAUAAAAAAAAAAAA